GGUUGAGCAAAUUACAGCUCAGCUAGGAACAACAGCAUCAGCUGAUGGUGUUCCAACAUCUGAUCAAGCCUCAGAGAGGAUCAAAACUGGUUUCCUUCACUUCAAGAAAGAGAAAUAUGAGUUAGUCACUAAACUCAAUUUAAUUACUUAUAUCUUUAAUUUCUUGUAGCUUAAGCUUUCUCAUUCAAUUUUAUUAAUUUUUUCCACAGCACAAAACCAGCUUUGUAUGGUGAACUUGCCAAAGGCCAAGCCCCCCCGGUAUGCAAAUAAUUAGUCGAUGUAGUGAUCGAUAUAUAUAUAUAUAUAUAUAUAUAUAUAUAUAUAUAUAUAUAUAUAUAUAUAUAUAGAGAGAGAGAGAGAGAGAGAGAGAGAGACCGAAUCCUCGAAAUUAUUGACCAAAUAUAAAUUCAUUUCUAAAUCGGAAGCAACGAUAAACUAAAUUUACAUCUCCUUUGUUUACUUGUUUCAGUUUAUGGUGUUUGCAUGCUCAGACUCAAGAGUCUGCCCAUCUCAUGUGCUAGACUUCCAGCCAGGAGAAGCUUUUGUGGUCAGAAAUGUUGCUAACAUGGUUCCACCAUAUGACCAGGUUUGUUUUCAAUUAUACACAAAAAACAAUGCAUCAUUUUGAUAUAGAUGUCUCUAUGGACUCAAACACGGACACGAUACCGAUACAUGUACACCGUGGUAAUACUUUAAGAAAGUAAAAGUGAUCAAAUGUAAAAUGAUUCUAUUUCAUAUUGGUAUCCGACAUAUAUUCAAUCUGAAGUGUCAGUAUUACAUAGAUUUUUUCAAUACAAAUUAUACUCAAAUUAAAAAAGGUAAUUUCUUUGUUUGACUAUAUAUGCUUAAUUUGUAACAGGCAAAAUAUGCUGGAACUGGAUCUGCAAUUGAGUAUGCUGUUCUGCAUCUCAAGGUAUAGUACUACAAGAUAAAUGAACUACACACUUUCAUCUAUAGUAUGAAAAUUGAUAAACUGUAAAAAAAAAAAACAAAAAUUAACUCAACAAUUUUUUAUUUUUCUAUAGGUUUCCAACAUUGUGGUCAUUGGACACAGUGCUUGUGGUGGUAUUAAGGGGCUUUUGUCUUUUCCAUUUGAUGGAGCCUACUCCACGUAAGUCAUUUUUUUACUUUACCUAUUUGAAUAUUUUGGGCAUGUCCCUCUACUUAGUGCAUGAUUGGAUUAACGGUACCUAUGACAAAACUGCGGUUUUGUUGAAUUUUAAAAAGUAGUUUUUGUUAAAGUCGCAAUAAUAGACUGUAAUUCUUCCACAAUCACCAUCAAUCCAAGUAUAAAUAGACAUUGACAAAUUUUUGGACAAAGUUCAACCUAAUUAAUGUCAAGGAAGAGAGAAAAUAAUCACUAGUAAUAAUCUUCCACCCUUUAUUUUGUUGUGUGCAGUGAUUUCAUUGAGGAGUGGGUCAAAAUUGGUUUACCUGCAAAGGCAAAGGUGAAGGCAAAGCAUGGAGAUGCACCUUUUGGAGAGCUAUGCACACACUGUGAGAAGGUAUGAGAGAAGAGUACAAACCAAUUCACAAGCAAUAAACUUAUGUCAACAACACACUCUUUUAUCGGUUGAAAUCCAUAUGAACUUCACAAAAUUUAUGUGGAACUACAUAAUUUAACAUAAUCCAUUUGAAUUUCAACUAUCAGAAGAGUGUGUGUUGGAAAGAUUACGUUGCUAGCACUUCUCGAAUGUUAAAAUCCAGAUUAGUGCGAAUAUCAACAAAUUUUGUACACUCUUUCGAACACUCUUUAUUUUUUAUAAAAGUAAAUGCUCAAAAGCGAUCUCUAACAUUUUCUUUCAAACACUAUAUUAUUAGUCUAAUUUCAUAUAGGACUCAUCAGAUAUGAAUUUCAACAAAUAGUCGAGUGUUAGAGAAUAUGUUGCAGACAGUGAUGAUAUAAAAUGAUCGGCAAGAAACAUUUUUUAGUGAAUCUUACAAGUUAAAAUUUGAAUUAUGUGCAGGAAGCUGUGAAUGUUUCUCUUGGAAACCUUCUAACCUACCCAUUUGUGAGAGAGGGAUUGGUGAACAAAACAUUGGCACUAAAAGGAGGAUACUAUGACUUUGUGAAAGGAUCUUUUGAGCUUUGGGGACUUGAAUUUGGCCUUUCUUCAACUUUCUCCGUAUGAACAUCAACCAUAUAUCAAUGACCACAUCUUGAUUACCUAAGUAUUCUCCUCUCUAAAAUGUACUAUAUGUAAUUACCCUUGUUAAUUAAUUAUAAGCUAAAUUCCAAAAUAAAUAAAUGUAGAUGGAAAUUAUAUAUUCUCCAUCAAUCAUUUUUACAUAGCUCCAAAUUAUAUUAUAAUAAUGUUACUUUUGUUGCAUAUAUAAGUAAAUAAACAAGUUAAGAGCAAAGUGUAAUUUAUGGUGUUUCACUUUCACCACUAAAUUUUUGUUGUUUGUUAGGUAA
Molecule: long non-coding RNA, 2416 nt
Filed under: Medicago truncatula (barrel medic)
Lineage: Eukaryota; Viridiplantae; Streptophyta; Magnoliopsida; Fabales; Fabaceae
Description: long non-coding RNA (MTRU_LNC003772)
Source: RNAcentral